UAGGGAAUCUUCCGCAAUGGACGCAAGUCUGACGGAGCAACGCCGCGUGAGUGAAGAAGGAUUUCGGUUCGUAAAACUCUGUUGUUAGAGAAGAACAGCGCAUAGAGUAACUGUUAUGCGUGUGACGGUAUCUAACCAGAAAGCCACGGCUAACUACGUGCCAGCAGCCGCGGUAAUACGUAGGUCCCGAGCGUUGUCCGGAUUUAUUGGGCGUAAAGCGAGCGCAGGCGGUUAGAUAAGUCUGAAGUUAAAGGCAGUGGCUCAACCAUUGUAGGCUUUGGAGACUGUUUAACUUGAGUGCAGAAGGGGAGAGUGGAAUUCCAUGUGUAGCGGUGAAAUGCGUAGAUAUAUGGAGGAACACCGGUGGCGAAAGCGGCUCUCUGGUCUGUAACUGACGCUGAGGCUCGAAAGCGUGGGGAGCGAACAGG
Molecule: ribosomal RNA, 428 nt
Filed under: Bacteroidota bacterium
Lineage: Bacteria; Pseudomonadati; Bacteroidota
Description: Bacteroidetes bacterium partial 16S ribosomal RNA
Rfam family: Bacterial small subunit ribosomal RNA
Source: RNAcentral